This 630-nucleotide long non-coding RNA is filed under the name Marmota monax (woodchuck). The record is from RNAcentral. Lineage: Eukaryota; Metazoa; Chordata; Mammalia; Rodentia; Sciuridae.
ACGUGGCCUGCCCUCCUUCUGUCUGGCUGAAGACAGAGAGAUCAUUUAAAAGAUUCCUCCCAGCCAGAUAAUUAUAAGGAGAGAUCAGUGUUUUAGAAGUAGAGCGUCAGAAUGUAAAGAAAUGGCCAAGGAGAUGAUCUCCGUCCAGUGGAUUCUGCAGCCAGCGGCUGCUUCCCCUGCCUUCAGGGGCUUUAGUGACCCACAUCCACACCCCGCGGACAGUCCGUCAGGAGUCGAGCUUCCAGGAGAGGAGCAGAGGAAGGGGAUCACCUCAACAUUUCAAUUCAACGUGGUUUUAAAGGGGACAACGCUGCUUCCAUUUCUACUCUCUGUGUGGUUUCAUAGAGUUCCUUUGGGACCGUUUUUACUAUUAUUGUGAUUUUACUGACAUCGUAUUAGAAAUGAUACCUUUGGAUUUUGUUUUCUUGUGCUGCCUUUACAAACUCGAGCCUCAGGCUGUCCCCUCUGGAGGGACCAUAAAGUCAUUCAUAACCAUGUCAACACCCGACUGCUGCACGCCCGGAGCCAGGCCUGGGGAGACACCGAGGGUCCGUGGGAGGACCUCGGCCCCACCUCUGAGCCAUCCCGGGAAGGACUCUCAGUGACGGGGACAUUUAUGAGCGCAGAGCC